UAUGGAGGUCAAUGAGAGAAGUGUCCAAUUUGGUCAACGACAACAACAACAAAAAUGAAUGGGUUAUUUGCUACGUGAGGUUUAUUUGAUCGAAUUGAAGUUUCGUAAUGCUUAAAAGUUGUUAAGAGUGUACUGAUAUAAGUAGGAUACGUGACAUCCCGGCAACUUUGAGAAAAAACACUUUAUAUUGGAGUUGUCUACAUUUAUUUUUAUUUAACUAGUAGCGUAUCAUCUUUAUUUUAUUCAUUAUACAAAAGUACCAGCAAUGGACAAUUUACAUCCGUCCGUAAGUAGGCCGUCAUUGUAAAUACGAAUUUGUUCUUAACUGACUUGCCUAGUUAAAAGGUUACAUUUUUUAAAAAAACAUCCCUACAUCAAACAUGUCCAACAAAACACAAGUUUAAACAAGAAAAUCCUAAAUACAUAAAAAAAUAAUAAUAUGUGCAAUUGCUCAGAUUGCUCAGUAAUUACUCAGAUAAAUAUCUCAAUGAUUCAGGAAGAUGUUAUUAUUUGUGUUAUUCAGUGUGGAUAAUGUCUUAACAAAUCAAAUACUUUUUAAUGUUGGUGUAGAAUUCUGCAAUUUUGAUUUGGCAACAAGAAUAAAAAAUUCACAAUCAUUUCAAUGGUCUUUUAUCAUUGCAAUAGUAACAAAUGAUGUCCUUCAUGUCAAAAACAUGGGUAGUGUUCAAAAAGGUUUUCCCCAAAAUCUAUCAGACAUUUACAUUCAUAUAACAAGUGUGUAAUAUUUUCACCUUGUUUUUCACAAAAAACGCAGAUAUCAUCAAUAUCGACACAUUAGGACAACAUAGAUAUAUCGUAUGUAGAAUCUUAAGGUGCACUUCCUUAAAUUCGUUUGAUAUAAAAUAUUUGUAAGGCAUCAACCAAGCUUUUUUCCAGACAAGGUCCAGAAUAAGCAUGUUCCAGGUUUAAGUUGGUUCUGUGAAUGGAAAAUGUGUCUUAUGUAAUUGAAACAACAUUUCUCAAGUAAGCCCCGCCUUCCAAGCUAAGUUCUAGAUAAGCUCUCUCCCAAGCUGAGUUCUGGAUACGCUCUCUUCCAAGCUGAGUUCUAGAUACGCUCUCUUCCAAGCUGAGUUUUAGAUAAGCUCUCUUCCAAGCUGAGUUCUGGAUACGCUCUCUUCCUAGCUGAGUUCUAGAUACGCUCUCUUCCAAGCUGAGUUCUAGAUACGCUCUCUUCCAAGCUGAGUUCUAGAUACGCUCUCUUCCAAGCUGAGUUCUAGAUACGCUCUCUUCCAAGCUGAGUUCUAGAUACGCUCUCUUCCAAGCUGAGUUCUAGAUACGCUCACUUAUUUUCCCAGAUGAAGUCAAGAAAGGUCUUGUUGAUUUCAGGUAGAGGGGAGUUACCGUCCCUCUGCCUUGGACAGAAGCCCUCUCCCAGGUAUAGAAAGAUCUCUUUGUAGCCAAUUAUUAAAAUAUAUUCUUGGUUUUCUUGACUUUAGAAGAGAAGGUCAUAUGUUGUCAGAUUAAGUGGGUUUUUGGAUAGAUGUAUUCUUUAAAUAUUUAACAUCAUAGAGUCAUAUAAACAUACGAUUUUACAUGUAGAAAUAUGCAGUUUUAACCCAGAUGGAGUACAGGAUGCAGUGAUAACAUUAAGGAUAUGGACAACCUGGUCUUUGUCUUUAAAAAAAUAGUAGUAUCAUCAGCCAGUUGGGACAUGUUGAUUUCUCUGUUAAAAAUGGACAAGCCAUACAGAUUUGCAUUAUUCAGAAUUUCUAGAGAUAGAAGUUUCCGCUACCAAAAUGAGUAAAAAGGUGAAAUCGGGCAUCUCUGUCGACACUUCUGUUGAUAUUGGUUAUUUUGGAUGUAUUAAGGUUUAGUAUCACACAACUAUUUAUAUCUUUGUAAAACAUGCAAAUGACUUUUCUUUUUUUUCUUCUUUUUUUUUACCCGAAACCAAAAAGUUUAAGAGGCCGAAAGAUAAAUUCAUGUUCAAUUGUGUCAAAAAGGUCCAGAAAUAAAAUAACAGCAUCUGAAUCAAAUGCAUUUGAUUAAAAUGUAAAAGGUCCAAGACUAAAUGUUGAAUGUUGGAACUUAUGUGACGGGCCCGUCAUAAAUCCUGUUUGAGUCUAAUUUAUUAUGGCAUCUAUUCCUUUCUUUAAUCUAUUGGCGUAAACCAGAGCAAUCAAUUUGUAAUCAAUAUUUAAUAAAUUAAUUGGGCUCCAAUUGUCAAUGAGAGUAGGGUAUUUAUCAUGUUUUGGGAAUCAGUGAAUUAAGACCCUUUUUCAUAGUGGAGACCAUUUUACAAUUUUCAAUGCAAUCUUGAAACGUAUAAAACAAUACGCUCUUCAAGUAACUCCUCAAACUGCCUUAGAAUUAAACUGCCAAGCUGUUAGGCUCAGGUGGUUUCCCUUUUUCAUUGAAUUCAGAGCCUCUCUAAUGUCUUCGAUUGAAACACAGGUGAAUCGCAAACUGAGUGGAAGUCAUCUUCAGUUACAGGGAUAUCAUUCUGAAUGUGGCAAAUGUAGCUUUCACAACCAAUCAUCCUGAAAUUGUGAGUUGAAAAGGUUUUCAUGAAAGGAAUUGACAAAUGUUGCUAUUUGUAACGGGAUCUAUCCGUGCUUCUACACCUGCAUUGCUUGCUGUUUGGGGUUUUAGGCUGGGUUUCUGUACAGCACUUUGUGACAUCAGCUGAUGUAAAAAGGGCUAUAUAAAAUAAACCUGAUUUGAUUUGAUCUUUGCAUAAUACAUCAUUCAUUUUAGAGUGGCGUUAUAGAUUUUCUUUUGUAGUUUCUCUUUUCAAUUGCAAAGAAAUAACUGGUGAUUCUUUCUCCCUCUUCAAUCCAUUUUGCUCUUGACCUUACAAAGUCGCCCUUUGAUCCGUGUAAAACUGUUCUAAUUCUAGUUGUAAAGACUUAAAUACAGACUCCUCUUCUUGAGAUAGAUUAUCUUUCUUUAGAAAACUGUCAAGCUUGUUCAUUAUCUCUUUUUCUCUAAGGCUCUUUAAGUGCUUCAGCUCUUUGGCAUGUUUAAUGGCUACAACUCUGACUUUAUAUUUGAAAAAUUCCCAUCUACUUCCAUGACCCUUGUCUUCUCUCUAAAAAAUAUCGUUGGCUCACGAUUUGAUGUUUCCAAUGAAAAUAGAAUCUUUAAGAAGUGUGUUGUUUAAUUUCCAAUAUCCUCGAAUACCCUUUUGUGACGUAGUUUUCUGUGUCCAGGUAUAACCCUUUGAAUCCAGAUUGAAAUAACGCCAGGCGUCAUCAACACAGAGUUCCUUACACAACGUUGUGAUGAUAUUGUCUAUUUUGAGAGCUUUGACUCCUUCGAGGAGGAAAAACGAUCAGCAGAGUCAUCAGGUGUUUUGGUUAAAAGCUCCUGAGAGAAUUAGAAAAGCCUCUUGAGUAUUUGUUACGUAAAUCCUGUCCUUUUCUGGUUAGUUUGGAGCAAAAAGGGUUUUAUUAGGAGCAUGUGAUUUAUGUCCGUACACAUUGCAGAUGAUGGAAAUGGCAUUGUAAAGUUAAACAGUUACUAUGACCCAUCUAACCAUUCUGUAAAGAUGUGGAUUCUACAACGUCUCCUUUUAACUAGCGGAUUAGUGUCUAAACACCAGCAGAAUGGUUUGAUCCAUGACAGAGAGAGGCCAUGUCAACCCCACUGUGACUUCCACCGCGUACGGACGGGGGUCACCGCUGUUGACUGAGGUAAACAAUGCAAUUGUAUAUGCAUCAGAGACAAUGCAAAUGUUAUUACAUUUAUUUAUUUAUUUAUUUAUCCAUUAUUUUACCAGGUAAGUUGACUGAGAACACGUUCUCAUUUGCAGCAAAGACCUGGGGAAUAGUUACAGGGGAGAGGAGGGGGAUGAAUGAGCCAAUUGUAAACUGGGGCUUAUUAGGUGACCAUGAUGGUUUGAGGGCCAGAUUGGGAAUUUAGCCAGGACACCGGGGUUAACACCCCUACUCUUACGAUAAGUGCCAUGGGAUCUUUAAUGACCUCAGAGAGUCAGGACACCCGUUUUAACGUCCCAUCCGAAAGACCGCACCUUACACAGAGCAGUGUCCCCAAUCACUGCCCUGGGGAAUUGGGAUAUUUGUUUAGACCAGAGGAAAGAGUGCCUCCUACUGGCCCUCCAACACCACUUCCAGCAGCAUCUAGUCUCCCAUCCAGGGACUGACCAGGACCAACCCUGGUCCAACCCUGGACUACAACCCUGGACCAACCCUGGACUACAGUAUAUUACAUAUACUGUAGUCUUUCAAAAUGUGCGAUUUAAAUUAGUGUUGUUUGUCUAUUGCUAUUUUUGUAUAACGUACUUUCAGAUCACUGAAACCCCACCUGAUGUGGACGUUGUGGCACCAGAUCAGAACACCUUCGAGGAUCACCUUCAGGCACGGACCGAGCAGGAAGUGGAGGUUUUUGACCAGGUGAGACUGAACAUGGACAAGGCCCAUGAGAAACAGAAGGAGACCUACCGGAGCAGAAUCAAGAAGGGGACCAAGUGCUAUGACAUCCGGGCGAAUUACUUGGUUAGGAAGAAGGACAAAAGGAAGGCGAGACCUGGGAAACCUUGCUGCUCUUUCACUCCUAGCUGGGGUCACCUUCUGUUAAAGGUUACUUCGGUGGAAGCCAACAAUCUUGUUGGCGUCCAAAUCCCUGACGCCCUACACUUCAGUGAAGCCCAAUGAGCAAAGACCAUCGACUGUCCGAGCCUCCCAGGACGUAUCCCAUCUACCAGAACCAGUGAGUUUGGAUCAGUCUGAUUUUCUGUGCUCUGAGUCGGAGGGGGACCAGCUUUGAGGACCUAGGGGUUCUGCCCAACACCCAGACCUGGACCCACCUGAUGUCCUCCAUUACCUGUUCUCCAGGACCUAGGGGUUCUACCCAACACCCAGACCCACCUGAUGUCCUCCAUUACCUGUUCUCCAGGACCUAGGGGUUCUACCCAACACCCAGACCCACCUGAUGUCCUCCAUUACCUGUUCUCCAGGACCUAGGGGUUCUACCCAACACCCAGACCUGGACCCACCUGAUGUCCUCCAUUACCUGUUCUCCAGGACCUAGGGGUUCUGCCCAACACCCAGACCUGGACCUACAUGAUGUCCUCCAUUACCUGUUCUCCAGGACCUAGGGGUUCUGCCCAACACCCAGACCCACCUGAUGUCCUCCAUUACCUGUUCUCCAGGACCUAGGGCUUCUGCCCAACACCCAGACCCACCUGAUGUCCUCCUUUACCUGUUCUCCAGGACCUAGGGGUUCUACCCAACACCCAGACCUGGACCCACCUGAUGUCCUCCAUUACCUGUUCUCCAGGACCUAGGGGUUCUACCCAACACCCAGACCCACCUGAUGUCCUCCAUUACCUGUUCUCCAGGACCUAGGGGUUCUACCCAACACCCAGACCUGGACCCACCUGAUGUCCUCCAUUUCCUGUUCUCCAGGACCUAGGGGUUCUACCCAACACCCAGACCCACCUGAUGUGGGUCGCUGUAAAAAUGUAUUUUCCAUAACUGAAAAUAUUGUAUACUUGAAAAAAUAUAUAUAUAUUUUUGGAAGCUGGUGUACAAAACUGAAAGUAAAAGAUGCAAAAACAAAACUUAAGGAGUAUCAUAGAAAUAGCUCACAUAGAACAGAUCUUCUGUCAAUGAGAAUGACAGCUCUCUGUGGCUCUACCCACAUUUCUAAAUUCAUUUGGUUGGGUCGCCCCCAAAAAAGUUUGUUAUUGCAGCUUUAAUUUUCUGCAUUGACCCUUUUCGCACUAACUUUUUUUUUGACUCAUUACAUUACUGCUGCUGCGGUUAUCUUUCACUUUAUUCCUAGUUAUACAGUACAUUCGGAAAGUUUUCAGACACCUUGACUUUUUCCACAUUUUGAUAGGUUACAGUAUACUGUACAUUCGAAACAUAAAAAAAAAACAGAUACCUUAUUUACAUAAGUGUUCAGACCCUUUGCUUUGAGACUCGAAAUUGAUCAUCCUUGAGAUGUUUCUACAACUUGAUUGGAGUCCACCUGUGGUAAAUUUAAUUGAUUGGACAUGAUUUGGAAAGGCACACACCUGUAUACAUAAGGUCCCACAGUUGAAAGUGCAGGUCAAAGCUAAAACCGAGCCAUGAGGUCGAAGGACUUGUCCUUAGAGCUCCGAGACAGGAUUGUGUCGAGGUACAAACCUGGAGAAGGUUUCCAAAAAAUGUCUACAACAUUGAAGGUCCCCCAAGAACACAGUGGCCUCCAUCAUUCUUAAUUGGAAAAAAGUUUGGAACCACCAGGACUCUUCCUAGAGCCGACCGGCCAAACUGAGCAAUCGGGGGAAAAGGGCCUUGGUCAGGGAGGUGACCAAGAACCCGAUGUUCACUCUGACAGAGCUCCAGAGUUCCUCUGUGGAGAUGGGAGAACCUUCCAGAAGGAUGCAAGAGAAAGGCCACAAUGUAUUAUUCCAGUUUAGACGCAAUUUAGAUUUUGCCCAGUAGAUAGCAGCAGUGUAUGUGCAAAGUUUUAGACUGAUCCAAUGAACCAUUGUAUAUCUGUUCAUGUUGUGUCAAGGCUGCCCAAAUGGUUUAUUGGUUUAUUUUAUUAAUAUAUUUUGGAAGUUGUGCACUCUCCUCAAACAGUAGCAUGGUAUUAUUUCACUGUAAUAGCUACUGGACAGUUCAGUUAGAUUAACAAGAAUUUAAGCUCUCUGACAAUAUCAGAUAUGUCUAUGUCCUGGGAAAUUAUCUUGUUACUUAGAACAUCAUGCUAAUCACAUUAGCGCACGCUAGCUCAACUGUCCCGCAGGGGACAAACCGAUCAUGUAGAGGUAAAAAAAAAUUGGUUUCUACUGACAAUUGAGACGUACAAACUAAUUUUGAUUAUGACAUUAAUGAGCGAGAGCUAGGACGGACGUAGUCAAUAACUAUUUGUUCAGCACUUUUGAAAUGUACAGCGACAGAAUUCAGAACAUGGGCCGUUCUUACAGUGUACUCUCUGUACAAGUCAGAACCGUAGGAUAAAUAAAGGGGUCAUAUCAACAGACAAUGAAAGCUCUUACAAUAUUAGAUGAUUACAUUUCUCUACGACAGGUUAUAGGCUACAUGUGCACCACCAAGUUAGAACAGUAGGCAAAGUUUUUCGAGUUUAUGUUUUUUUGACUGUGUAAAAUGUUCAAAGUAGUCAUUGUGCAUUGAGUAAACUUUGUCUCUGCACAGUUCUGCCUUCAAAUGUAUUUGUGGAAAAUUUUCUGUGUACAUUUUAUAAAGUAGUCCUUGUGCAUAGAA
Molecule: long non-coding RNA, 7202 nt
Organism: Salvelinus fontinalis (brook trout)
Lineage: Eukaryota; Metazoa; Chordata; Actinopteri; Salmoniformes; Salmonidae
Exons: 5
Source: RefSeq, a predicted model, not a curated record